Molecule: ribosomal RNA, 497 nt
Filed under: uncultured bacterium
Lineage: Bacteria
Description: partial 16S ribosomal RNA
Rfam family: Bacterial small subunit ribosomal RNA
Source: RNAcentral
GAUGAACGCUGGCGGCGUGCCUAAUACAUGCAAGUCGAGCGAACGGACGAGAAGCUUGCUUCUCUGAUGUUAGCGGCGGACGGGUGAGUAACACGUGGAUAACCUACCUAUAAGACUGGGAUAACUUCGGGAAACCGGAGCUAAUACCGGAUAAUAUUUUGAACCGCAUGGUUCAAAAGUGAAAGACGGUCUUGCUGUCACUUAUAGAUGGAUCCGCGCUGCAUUAGCUAGUUGGUAAGGUAACGGCUUACCAAGGCAACGAUGCAUAGCCGACCUGAGAGGGUGAUCGGCCACACUGGAACUGAGACACGGUCCAGACUCCUACGGGAGGCAGCAGUAGGGAAUCUUCCGCAAUGGGCGAAAGCCUGACGGAGCAACGCCGCGUGAGUGAUGAAGGUCUUCGGAUCGUAAAGCUCUGUUAUUGGGGAAGAACAUAUGUGUAAGUAACUGUGCACAUCUUGACGGUACCUAAUCAGAAAGCCACGGCUAACUACGUG